Molecule: ribosomal RNA, 455 nt
Filed under: uncultured Prevotella sp.
Lineage: Bacteria; Pseudomonadati; Bacteroidota; Bacteroidia; Bacteroidales; Prevotellaceae
Description: partial 16S ribosomal RNA
Rfam family: Bacterial small subunit ribosomal RNA
Source: RNAcentral
ACGGGAGGCAGCAGUGAGGAAUAUUGGUCAAUGGGCGUAAGCCUGAACCAGCCAAGUAGCGUGAAGGAUGACGGCCCUACGGGUUGUAAACUUCUUUUGCCGGGGGAUAAAACGCGCCACGUGUGGCGCCUUGCAGGUACCCGUGCGAAUAAGGACCGGCUAAUUCCGUGCCAGCAGCCGCGGUAAUACGGAAGGUCCGAGCGUUAUCCGGAUUUAUUGGGUUUAAAGGGUGCGCAGGCGGGCUGCUAAGUCUCCGGUGAAAUGUCAGGGCUCAACCUUGGCACUGCCGGAGAUACUGGCGGCCUUGAGAGUGGCGGAGGUAUCCGGAAUGUGUGGUGUAGCGGUGAAAUGCAUAGAUAUCACACAGAACACCGAUUGCGAAGGCAGGAUACCAUACCAUAUCUGACGCUCAGGCACGAAAGCGUGGGGAUCGAACAGGAUUAGAUACCCUGGUA